UGCUAGAUCCUGACGUUACCCUAAGAAUCAAGCACCCGGCUACUUCUGUGCCAGCAGCGCGUUAAUACAGAGGGGUGCAAAGCGUUAAUCGAAUUACUGGGCGUAAAGGGUCUGUAGGCGGAUUAUUAAGUCGGAUGUGAAAUCCCCGGGCUCAACCCUGGGAACGGCAUUCGAUACUGGUAGUCUAGAGUGUGCAAGAGGAUGGGGGAAUUCCUGGUGUAGCAGUGAAAUGCGUAGAGAUCAGGAGGAACAUCAAUGGCGAAGGCACCUUUCUGGGGCAACACUGACGCUGAGAGACGAAAGCGUGGGGAGCAAACAGGAUUAGAUACCCUGGUAGUCCACGCCCUAAACGAUGUCAACUAACUGUUCGGAGUCACUAAGAUUCUGAGUAGUGAAGCUAACGCGAUAAGUUGACCGCCUGGGGAGUACGGCCGCAAGGUUGAAACUCAAAGAAAUUGACGGGGGCCCGCACAAGCGGUGGAGUAUGUGGUUUAAUUCGAUGCAACGCGAAGAACCUUACCCGGUCUUGACAUGGUAGGAAUCUUGUAGAGAUACGAGAGUGCCUUCGGGAACCUACACACAGGUGCUGCACGGCUGUCGUCAGCUCGUGUCGUGAGAUGUUGGGUUAAGUCCCGCAACGAGCGCAACCCUUGCCCUUAGUUACCAUCAUUUAGUUGGGGACUCUAAGGGGACUGCCGGUGAUAAACCGGAGGAAGGUGGGGACGACGUCAAGUCAUCAUGGCCCUUAUGACCGGGGCUACACACGUACUACAAUGGUCGGUACAGACGGUCGCAAGCUCGCGAGAGUAAGCUAAUCCGAGAAAACCGAUCGUAGUCCGGAUCGCAGUCUGCAACUCGACUGCGUGAAGUCGGAAUCGCUAGUAAUCGCAAAUCAGAAUGUUGCGGUGAAUACGUUCCCGGGCCUUGUACACACCGCCCGUCACACCAUGGGAGUUUGUUGCAAAAGAAGUAGGUAGCUUAACCGCAAGGAGGGCGCUUACCACUUUGUGGCCGAUGACUGGGGUGAAGUCGUAACAAGGUA
RNAcentral lists this ribosomal RNA (1042 nucleotides) under uncultured bacterium. RNAcentral's name for it is "bacterial SSU rRNA". It matches the Rfam family "Bacterial small subunit ribosomal RNA", at positions 460 to 1498 of the family's 1533-position model. The record is from RNAcentral.